Molecule: ribosomal RNA, 654 nt
Filed under: bacterium LB-162
Lineage: Bacteria
Also listed under: 1 other name
Description: bacterial SSU rRNA
Rfam family: Bacterial small subunit ribosomal RNA
Source: RNAcentral
UGAUACCCUGGUAGUCCACGCUGUAAACGAUGUCGACUUGGAGGUUGUUCCCUUGAGGAGUGGCUUCCGGAGCUAACGCGUUAAGUCGACCGCCUGGGGAGUACGGCCGCAAGGUUAAAACUCAAAUGAAUUGACGGGGGCCCGCACAAGCGGUGGAGCAUGUGGUUUAAUUCGAUGCAACGCGAAGAACCUUACCUACUCUUGACAUCCAGAGAACUUAGCAGAGAUGCUUUGGUGCCUUCGGGAACUCUGAGACAGGUGCUGCAUGGCUGUCGUCAGCUCGUGUUGUGAAAUGUUGGGUUAAGUCCCGCAACGAGCGCAACCCUUAUCCUUUGUUGCCAGCGGUUCGGCCGGGAACUCAAAGGAGACUGCCAGUGAUAAACUGGAGGAAGGUGGGGAUGACGUCAAGUCAUCAUGGCCCUUACGAGUAGGGCUACACACGUGCUACAAUGGCAUAUACAAAGAGAAGCGACCUCGCGAGAGCAAGCGGACCUCAUAAAGUAUGUCGUAGUCCGGAUUGGAGUCUGCAACUCGACUCCAUGAAGUCGGAAUCGCUAGUAAUCGUAGAUCAGAAUGCUACGGUGAAUACGUUCCCGGGCCUUGUACACACCGCCCGUCACACCAUGGGAGUGGGUUGCAAAAGAAGUAGGUAGC